CGGGGACAACAUUCCGAAAGGGAUGCUAAUACCGGAUGUGACGCUCCUAUCGCAUGACGGGAGCGUGAAAGAUGGCCUCUACAUGUAAGCUAUCGCUAAAGGAUGGGCCUGCGUCUGAUUAGCUAGUUGGUAGUGUAACGGACAACCAAGGCGAUGAUCAGUAGCCGGUCUGAGAGGAUGAACGGCCACAUUGGGACUGAGACACGGCCCAG
This 212-nucleotide ribosomal RNA is filed under the name uncultured bacterium. RNAcentral's name for it is "partial 16S ribosomal RNA". It matches the Rfam family "Bacterial small subunit ribosomal RNA", at positions 138 to 334 of the family's 1533-position model. The record is from RNAcentral.